This 426-nucleotide ribosomal RNA is filed under the name uncultured bacterium. RNAcentral describes it as "partial 16S ribosomal RNA". It matches the Rfam family "Bacterial small subunit ribosomal RNA", at positions 354 to 796 of the family's 1533-position model. The record is from RNAcentral.
GUGAGGAAUUUUCCGCAAUGGGCGAAAGCCUGACGGAGCAAUGCCGCGUGAAGGAUGAAGGCCUAUGGGUUGUAAACUUCUUUUCUUGGAGAAGAAUAUUGACGGUAUCUGAGGAAUAAGCAUCGGCUAACUCUGUGCCAGCAGCCGCGGUAAGACAGAGGAUGCAAGCGUUAUCCGGAAUGAUUGGGCGUAAAGCGUCUGUAGGUGGCUUCAAAAGUCUCCUGUCAAAGAUCAGGGCUUAACCCUGGGCCGGCAGGAGAAACUCUGAGGCUAGAGUUUGGUAGGGGCAGAGGGAAUUCCCGGUGGAGCGGUGAAAUGCGUAGAGAUCGGGAGGAACACCAAAGGCGAAAGCACUCUGCUGGGCCACAACUGACACUGAGAGACGAAAGCGAGGGGAGCAAAAGGGAUUAGAUACCCCGGUAGUCC